This 466-nucleotide ribosomal RNA is filed under the name uncultured bacterium. Its description in RNAcentral is "partial 16S ribosomal RNA". It matches the Rfam family "Bacterial small subunit ribosomal RNA", at positions 28 to 507 of the family's 1533-position model. The record is from RNAcentral.
GAUGAACGCUGGCGGCGUGCUUAACACAUGCAAGUCGAACGAUGAAGCCCAGCUUGCUGGGUGGAUUAGUGGCGAACGGGUGAGUAACACGUGAGUAACCUGCCCUUAACUCUGGGAUAAGCCUGGGAAACUGGGUCUAAUACCGGAUAGGAGCGUCCACCGCAUGGUGGGUGUUGGAAAGAUUUAUCGGUUUUGGAUGGACUCGCGGCCUAUCAGCUUGUUGGUGAGGUAAUGGCUCACCAAGGCGACGACGGGUAGCCGGCCUGAGAGGGUGACCGGCCACACUGGGACUGAGACACGGCCCAGACUCCUACGGGAGGCAGCAGUGGGGAAUAUUGCACAAUGGGCACAAGCCUGAUGCAGCGACGCCGCGUGAGGGAUGACGGCCUUCGGGUUGUAAACCUCUUUCAGUAGGGAAGAAGCGAAAGUGACGGUACCUGCAGAAGAAGCACCGGCUAACUACGUG